GGCCGACUAGCUCAGCUGGUUAGAGCGUCGUGCUAAUAACGCGAAGGUCUUGGGUUCGAUCCCCACGCUGGCCA
Galerina marginata CBS 339.88 is the source of this 74-nucleotide non-coding RNA. NCBI's taxonomy places the organism in Eukaryota, Fungi, Basidiomycota, Agaricomycetes, Agaricales, Galerinaceae. The record is from Rfam.